Long non-coding RNA from Salvelinus namaycush (lake trout), 1901 nucleotides. RefSeq lists it as uncharacterized. The record is from RefSeq and is a predicted model, not a curated record. The transcript is spliced from 3 exons. Lineage: Eukaryota; Metazoa; Chordata; Actinopteri; Salmoniformes; Salmonidae.
GAUGGGCGGCCACUAAGUACAUCUUCUGAACAUGCCUGCUGUGUGUUCCUCUCAGGGUGACUGCAGAGGUCAAACACAACCCGACCAACACCAUUGUGUGCAAGGCCCAGGGGGAGUGGAACGGAACCCUGGACUUCACCUAUAGCAGCGGGGAGACCAAAGUGAUUGACACAACCAAACUGCCAAUCAUCAAGAAGAAGCUCCGGCCUGUGGAGAAGCAGGGACGGAACGAGUCCAGGCGGUUAUGGCAGCAUGUCACCAAGUCACUGAAGGAGGGGAACAUUGACGAGGCCACGGAACAAAAGCGGCGUCUGGAGGAGCGCCAGCGAGGGGAGGAGAGGCAGAGAGCUGCAGUCAACUCGCCCUGGACACCCAAAUAUUUCAGUAAAAAGGGAGAAGAUUGGAUCUACCACAACCCCCUGUGGAAAUCUCACUGACACAAGAACCAGACUGCUCUAAUGGACACUAAGAGAGCCUCUAUCCCCCUAAACGAGGGGCCAGGCCAGGAUAAGGAUGGAACUGCCACUCGCUCUCCAUUGGGACCAGAGAUACUGACUCUUAAUGACAUGGACCACGGUCCCACUCAUGGGAAUCAAGUGGUUUCCACUUGAACUACGAGGGUGGGAGAGACCGAUGUAGCUUUUUUAUAGUGUUCGAGGUAGAGAAUUUGAAUUUCUUACUUUGCCAGGGCCUUUUGCAAAUGCACAGUAUGACGUGAUUUGCCACUGGUAUUUCUUUCUGGUUGUGCUGACACAUACAUGAUCCUUUUCGGUUCAAACGCCUUUAUUUGUCACGCAGCAUCAGAAUGCAAUGAUAGGAAGAUGGCAAAUAUGCUUGUGUUACAUUAGUUCCCAACAAAUGCUGUUGACUAGGAGCAGUCUCUCAUCACUUUGUUGCUAUUCUAUCCAUGCAGCCCUUUGACCAUUCCUGAAAUGACUCUGUUCUUCCAUGCAAUACAGAUUUCCCAUCACCCUUUUACUUUACACAGUCAACACUCCAUUGGAUCCCAUCUUCCCGAGAGGUGUUUCCUCCUUCCAGGGACGUGUCCUUAGGUUGGCAUUGAUAUAACAUAAUUAAGCUGGAGCUGUACCCAGCUCACGACUCAUGCUAAUAUCUCAGUGGGCUGCCUCUGCGUCUAAUAUGGAUAAGUCACAACCCCAUUCUCACAGAGGGGCACUGUCUCUCUACCUCAUAUCCUGAAUGACAUGUGGUGGUAAAGGGGAUGUUUUUGGUUAUACAUAGCCAUUAUAUAUUUACGUUUUCCCAAAUACUAUAUCGGAUUGCCUUUAUUUAGCCAAACAUCUAAUGGAAAAUCAUUUUUGUUCUUAGAAAAGUGAUCACUGCUAUCUAUAUUCUCUGGUUAAGUAAUUUCAACCAUCCAUGAUUAUAGACUGAGGGGCUUGCUGCAUUACAGUACCUAUACUAACGGGCAGGAUCAUCUUGCAGUGAAAAAAAUUAGCCGUCACAAAGCUGUCCCGUUUCUUGCAGCACUCAAGUGUGUUCUUGAAUUAGUGACCUUGACAUCUGGCAAUAAUGCAUGAAUUUGAUUACCAUGUCUCCAGCACUCGGUAAUCAAGACGAGUGCAGAUACACAUUGUGGGUUAUUUGGAAAGAUCGGUCCACAAAGAUGACAUUUUAUUCCCCAUAUGUGUCAAACUAAGAUAUUCUGAAUGUAUUUGGGUUUUGUAGAACACUGAUGUACCCAAGAGCUUGAACCAAACUCCUCAUUCACUUUGAUAAAAACCUAUGCAACACCCCAUUUGUUAUAACAUAGGUUGAAGGUAUAAUUGUUUUGUUCUAAUAAAUGUGCCCUGGCAAUCACUGCCUGUUGUCGGUGCGGAAAAUGGAGAACAGCUGUAAUUUGAAUGCUAGUGCUGCCAUCUUGUGGUACAUUUUGUAAU